This 508-nucleotide long non-coding RNA is filed under the name Amphimedon queenslandica. Its description in RNAcentral is "uncharacterized LOC109587732". The record is from RNAcentral. Lineage: Eukaryota; Metazoa; Porifera; Demospongiae; Haplosclerida; Niphatidae.
ACGGGGCGUAGCAACAGGAAAUGCGGGUUGGGUUACCACGUGACAACCAUCAGUGUUUUGAUUGAUUUCCCAUCUCUUCCAUUGGUGAAGUUGCUCUGGCAGGAUUUCGAAGGAAAUUUGUGCUGCUCCAGGAUAGCGCUUGCUUUUGGUAUAUAGCCUAUUCCACAUAGAAUUUUUAGAGCUACCUGUAGCAAGGUUUUUAUCUCCAAAAAGCCAUUUUGCAACCAGUUAGAGGUACACAAAGUCGCCUGUUUUUGAAACACUUUAUCGUUCGUAAAACACUCAAGCUUCAUUGUAUCAAUAUGCAACUCAAGAACAAAAUGAGUCUCUCAGAGGGGGAAAAGAUGGUUUUUCUAGUUAAAGAGUGACGCAGCUACUAACGCAUGCAUUGAUUUACUGAACAAAAAAUAUUAAUAAAAAGCAUAAACAUUGGUUAGUAUUGUGUUUGAGUUUUGUUUGCAUGAAUUGUAUUCUCUUGGAGUUAUUCAAGAAUAAAGCAAGAAAAUCC